AGGGGGCACCCGUAUCCAUCAUGCCGCGUGUGUGAAGAAGGCCUUCGGGUUGUAAAGCACUUUUGUCAGGAACGAAACGGUGGGGGCUAAUACCUCCUGCUAAUGACGGUACCUGAAGAAUAAGCACCGGCUAACUACGUGCCAGCAGCCGCGGUAAUACGUAGGGUGCGAGCGUUAAUCGGAAUUACUGGGCGUAAAGCGUGCGCAGGCGGUUGUGCAAGACAGAUGUGAAAUCCCCGGGCUUAACCUGGGAAUGGCAUUUGUGACUGCACGGCUAGAGUGUGUCAGAGGGGGGUAGAAUUCCACGUGUAGCAGUGAAAUGCGUAGAUAUGUGGAGGAAUACCGGUGGCGAAGGCAGCCCCCUGGGAUAACACUGACGCUCAGGCACGAAAGCGUGGGGAGCAAACAGGAUUAGAUACCCUGGUAGUCCACGCCCUAAACGAUGUCAACUAGUUGUCGGGUCUUAAUUGACUUGGUAACGCAGCUAACGCGUGAAGUUGACCGCCUGGGGAGUACGGUCGCAAGAUUAAAACUCAAAGGAAUUGACGGGGACCCGCACAAGCGGUGGAUGAUGUGGAUUAAUUCGAUGGCACGCGAAAAACCUUACCUACCCUUGACAUGUCAGGAACCCCGUUGAGAGGUGGGGGUGCUCGAAAGAGAGCCUGAA
Molecule: ribosomal RNA, 667 nt
Filed under: uncultured bacterium
Lineage: Bacteria
Description: bacterial SSU rRNA
Rfam family: Bacterial small subunit ribosomal RNA
Source: RNAcentral